ACGGGGGGGGCAAGCGUUGUUCGGAAUUACUGGGCGUAAAGGGCUCGUAGGCGGCCAACUAAGUCGGAUGUGAAAUCCCCAGGCUUAACCUGGGAACUGCAUCCGAUACUGGAUGGCUUGAAUCCGGGAGAGGGAUGCAGAAUUCCAGGUGUAGCGGUGAAAUGCGUAGAUAUCUGGAGGAACACCGGUGGCAAAGGCGGCCUUCUGGUCGGAUACUGACGCUAAAACGCGAAAGCGUGGGGAGCAAACAGGA
RNAcentral lists this ribosomal RNA (253 nucleotides) under uncultured prokaryote. RNAcentral describes it as "partial 16S ribosomal RNA". It matches the Rfam family "Bacterial small subunit ribosomal RNA", at positions 525 to 777 of the family's 1533-position model. The record is from RNAcentral.